UACGUAGGGUGCAAGCGUUGUCCGGAAUUAUUGGGCGUAAAGAGCUUGUAGGCGGUUUGUCGCGUCUGCUGUGAAAAUCCGGGGCUCAACCCCGGACUUGUAGUGGGUACGGGCAGACUAGAGUGUGGUAGGGGAGACUGGAAUUCCUGGUGUAGCGGUGGAAUGCGCAGAUAUCAGGAGGAACACCGAUGGCGAAGGCAGGUCUCUGGGCAGUAACUGACGCUGAGGAGCGAAAGCAUGGGGAGCGAACAGG
This 253-nucleotide ribosomal RNA is filed under the name uncultured bacterium. RNAcentral describes it as "partial 16S ribosomal RNA". It matches the Rfam family "Bacterial small subunit ribosomal RNA", at positions 524 to 776 of the family's 1533-position model. The record is from RNAcentral.